AUACGGAGGAUGCAAGCGUUAUCCGGAUUUAUUGGGUUUAAAGGGUGCGUAGGCGGUUUGCUAAGCGGGAGGUGAAAUGCCGGCGCUCAACGUCGGAAGUGCCUCCCGAACUGGUGGACUGGAAUGACUCUGCCGUGGGAGGAAUGUGUAGUGUAGCGGUGAAAUGCUUAGAGAUUACACAGAACACCGAUUGCGAAGGCAUCUCACGAAGGGCUGAUUGACGCUGAGGCACGAAAGCGUGGGGAUCAAACAGGAUUAGAUACCCUGGUAGUCCACGCAGUAAACGAUGAUGGCUAACCGCUGGUUUUUUCGGAUCAGUGGCCAAGCGAAAGCGAUAAGCCAUCCACCUGGGGAGUACGACCGCAAGGUUGAAACUCAAAUGAAUUGACGGGG
This 393-nucleotide ribosomal RNA is filed under the name uncultured bacterium. RNAcentral's name for it is "partial 16S ribosomal RNA". It matches the Rfam family "Bacterial small subunit ribosomal RNA", at positions 523 to 918 of the family's 1533-position model. The record is from RNAcentral.